This 492-nucleotide ribosomal RNA is filed under the name uncultured bacterium. RNAcentral describes it as "partial 16S ribosomal RNA". It matches the Rfam family "Bacterial small subunit ribosomal RNA", at positions 29 to 507 of the family's 1533-position model. The record is from RNAcentral.
AGUGAACGCUGGCGGUAGGCCUAACACAUGCAAGUCGAACGGCAGCACAGUAAGAGCUUGCUCUUACGGGUGGCGAGUGGCGGACGGGUGAGGAAUACAUCGGAAUCUACUUUUUCGUGGGGGAUAACGUAGGGAAACUUACGCUAAUACCGCAUACGACCUGCGGGUGAAAGCAGGGGAUCUUCGGACCUUGCGCGAUUGAAUGAGCCGAUGUCGGAUUAGCUAGUUGGCGGGGUAAAGGCCCACCAAGGCGACGAUCCGUAGCUGGUCUGAGAGGAUGAUCAGCCACACUGGAACUGAGACACGGUCCAGACUCCUACGGGAGGCAGCAGUGGGGAAUAUUGGACAAUGGGCGCAAGCCUGAUCCAGCCAUACCGCGUGGGUGAAGAAGGCCUUCGGGUUGUAAAGCCCUUUUGUUGGGAAAGAAAAGCAGCAGGUUAAUACCCCGCUGUUCCGACGGUACCCAAAGAAUAAGCACCGGCUAACUUCGUG